CGUGCGAAUGCUUACACAUGCAGUCGAUUCAAGUUACCUUCGGGUAAUGAGGAUGGCGGACGGGUGAGUAACGCGUAAGGAACUUGCCUCUUGGACUGGGACAACUGUUGGAAACGACAGCUAAUACCGGAUAUUAUGAGAUUCUCGCAUGAGAAACUUAUGAAAGCUAUAUGCGCCAAGAGAGAGCCUUGCGUUCCAUUAGCUAGUUGGUGGGGUAAUGGCCCACCAAGGCGACGAUGGAUAGCCGGCCUGAGAGGGUGAACGGCCACAAGGGGACUGAGACACGGCCCUUACUCCUACGGGAGGCAGCAGUGGGGAAUAUUGGACAAUGGGCCACAAGCCUGAUCCAGCAAUUCUGUGUGCACGAUGAAGGUCUUCGGAUUGUAAAGUGCUUUCAGUUGGGAAGAAGAAAGUGACGGUACCAACAGAAGAAGCGACGGCUAAAUACGUGCCAGCAGCCGCGGUAAUACGUAUGUCGCAAGCGUUAUCCGGAUUUAUUGGGCGUAAAGCGCGUCUAGGCGGAAAAAUAAGUCUGAUGUUAAAAUGCGGGGCUCAACUCCGUAUUGCGUUGGAAACUGUUUUUCUAGAGUACUGGAGAGGUGGGCGGAACUACAAGUGUAGAGGUGAAAUUCGUAGAUAUUUGUAGGAAUGCCGAUGGAGAAGUCAGCUCACUGGACAGGUACUGACGCUGAAGCGCGAGAGCGUGGGGAGCAAACAGGAUUAGAUACCCUGGUAGUCCACGCCGUAAACGAUGAUCACUAGGUGUUGGGGGUCGAACCUCAGCGCCCAAGCUAACGCGAUAAGUGAUCCGCCUGGGGAGUACGCACGCAAGUGUGAGACUCAAAGGAAUUGACGGGGACCCGCACAAGCGGUGGAGCAUGUGGUUUAAUUCGACGCAACGCGAGAAACCUUACCAGCGUUUGACAUCCUAAGAAGUUUCCAGAGAUGGAUUCGUGCCGGCUUGCCGGAACUUAGUGACAGGUGGUGCAUGGCUGUCGUCAGCUCGUGUCCUGAAAUGUUUGGGUUAAGUCCCGCAACGAGCGCAACCCCUAUUGGAUGUUGCUACCAUUUAAGUUGAGCACUCUUGGGG
Molecule: ribosomal RNA, 1090 nt
Filed under: uncultured bacterium
Lineage: Bacteria
Description: bacterial SSU rRNA
Rfam family: Bacterial small subunit ribosomal RNA
Source: RNAcentral